RNAcentral lists this ribosomal RNA (403 nucleotides) under uncultured bacterium. RNAcentral describes it as "partial 16S ribosomal RNA". It matches the Rfam family "Bacterial small subunit ribosomal RNA", at positions 28 to 526 of the family's 1533-position model. The record is from RNAcentral.
GACGAACGCUGGCGGCGUGCCUAAUACAUGCAAGUCGAACGCAGUGGGGACGGGUGAGUAACACGUGGGUAACCUCCCAUCAGAGGGGAUAACACUUGGAAACAGGUGCUAAACCGAUACUGAUGGAUGGACCCGCGGUGCGUUAGAGAGUUGGUGAGGUAACGGCUCACCAAGGCCACGAUGCAUCGCCGGACUGAGAGGGUGGUCGGCCACACUGGGACUUAGACACGGCCCAGACUCCUACGGGAGGCAUCAGUAGGGAAUCUUCGGCAAUGGACGAAAGUCUGACCGAGCAACGCCGCGUGAGUGAAGAAGGUUUUCGGAUCGUAAAGCUCUGUUGUUAGAGAAGCGGUAUCUCCCCAGAAAGCCACGGCUAACUACGUGCCAGCAGCCGCGGUAAUUC